UUGAGUGAGUUUAGAUGAUAUCCUGGAGUAGAUACUAUAAAAAGACUUUGUAUUGAAUUCCUUAUGAACAUAUCAUAUCUUAGUUUGGUUUAACUUUGAUAAGGACUUUUUCUUUUUCUUCUUUGUGUCUCUAGCAGCUGCACAGUGUCUCAAAUGCAGUUGGCCCUUCAUAAAUGUUUGCUGAAGUGAGGUGACAUACAGGAAAUCGAGGAUGGGUCGAUAAGUAUAAUCUUCUCCAGUGGGUGACACUUCCAGCUCCUUCCCUUCCCUGCACAGACAGCAAUCUCUCUCUGAAUCUACAAUUGGAUGACUCCAUACAUUAUUCGUGGCAAGCAGGGAUGCUGAAUCAUUUAGAGUUCAACUAGUCUCAGAUUCAACACAAUGAUACACUACCUAAAACACACAGAAGAUGAGACUGCAUACAUCAUUGUCACAUGGUACAUUCGUUGGAAUGCUUGUGAAUGAGUCAUGACCAAAUGCAAUGAAACUCAGCUCAAGAAUGACAGAGGGACUUUUUUCCUAUUUUCUCCUAUGAGAGUCAUAUCCCAAAUGCAACAAAUAUCUGUUUACCUCCAGGUGGAGUUUAUGAAACAGCAAACAUUUAAGAUUAGUACCAAAAGACUUUAUGAGUGCCAUCCAUAUGAAAUCAAUCAACCAAUAACACGUAGACAAAGAAGUGUCAAACAAAAGGUUGAGUUAUGCAAACUUUUUUUUAAAAAAAAUGUUUUACAUACUUCUGAGAUCAAUAUAAGACCAUGUUAUUGCCAUAAGACAUUAUAGAGAGGUCAUCAUUAUUAAAGAGUCCAGACAGUGAUUGACACAGAUAAUAUAGCAAUGUGGUAGAAACUGUAACUUCUCAUGAAAGGUUAUAACUGUUAGCAUCUAUAUAUAUUAAAUAUCUAAAUACUGUCCCCAUGUGGGUUACCUUCCUCCUCUCAUCCCCCAUGCCAGUACCCCUAUAUGUGUUAUCUUAGAAUAGAAGCUCUUUCAAAACAGGACUA
This is a non-coding RNA of Phascolarctos cinereus (koala), 1001 nucleotides long. The record is from RefSeq and is a predicted model, not a curated record. Lineage: Eukaryota; Metazoa; Chordata; Mammalia; Diprotodontia; Phascolarctidae.